CCAGGACCUCCCUGGGUACCAGUGUGGCUGCCGGAGGAGGAAGUUGGCAGCUGCAGUAGCAAGGAUCCUGCUAACCUUGUCUACACAUCUAGCAAGAUGAGAAGGAAUGACAUGGUUAAGUCAUGAAGCGGUGCAAUGUAUUGUCCCCCUCCAGAAUUCAUGGCAAGGAACCACAUUUUUGGGGCUCCCCUCUAUGACAAAUGCUAUGCAGUUGGAAAAGAUGAGGAAAAACCAGAUUAUGGUGCAUUUAUAGAAGGGAAACCAGACGAAGAUGCUCUCGGAGGACAGAGAAUACAGAGAAUACAACACGGUGUUCAGCAAGACUGAGAAAAAUGGGACAAUUUUGGGCUGGCAGCUGCCCAGGCUAGAGAUUCAGGUCCAGCUCCCUCUAGUGGAUGUUUAGCAAAUAAUCUCAUGUGCCUUGUCUUCAAAGGCUUCUGCCAUGGAAAAAGGCUCCCAAUUUUUUUGGUUCAUAGCUUGUCAUCAUAAUCAGAAGUGGGAGUUUCAAGAAGCAAACAUUUUAAUUAUACACACAAACACACACAACACACACACACACAUAUAGAUGGCAGCCUUUAAAAAUAUUCUUGUCAGGACUCUUCAUAUCAAGUGUAAAAUUGUCUUUUUUGUAUUUAGUGAAAUAAUUAUAAUUACUAAACAUUUUUAUAGCAUUUCUGAAAUGUGAAGAUUUAAAAAAAAAAACCAAAAGAGGAAGAAUUUUGGAAGUAAUUCCCAGGAAGCAAAAAACGCUAACAUCAAGAUUAAAAAAUAGAUCAAUAAUUAAAGGGAGAGGAACGUCCCUUCCUCACUUUAAAAUCUGGUAAGAUCAUAAAGGAAGAAAAUAAGAUGGCUUGUCCUUUCCUUCCCAUUAAUUUCUACAUAAUCCCAUUAAUAUUUAAAUCCAUGGACACUUAGCUGUUGUUUUUAAUUAGCUUCUUAAAGUAUUUUAAGAGUUGCCCUAUUUUAUAACUCACAGAAGAAUCCUAGAGAUUACUAAAACACCGGGAAGUUUAUGCCUUUUCAUUAAAUUAUUUCAUCUGAAAAGUUGCUAUUGGACUCCUCCUGAUUUUUGGCUGCCAUGGACUAACGUGGUUUUCCGUCU
Molecule: long non-coding RNA, 1102 nt
Organism: Candoia aspera
Lineage: Eukaryota; Metazoa; Chordata; Lepidosauria; Squamata; Candoiidae
Exons: 3
Source: RefSeq, a predicted model, not a curated record